This 2112-nucleotide long non-coding RNA is filed under the name Salmo salar (Atlantic salmon). Its description in RNAcentral is "lncRNA (ENSSSAG00000099812.1)". Lineage: Eukaryota; Metazoa; Chordata; Actinopteri; Salmoniformes; Salmonidae. The record is from RNAcentral.
AGGGCGGAGAGGAAGAGAGCCAGUGUGAAGCAGCAGAGUCUCAGCAGAAACCUCUUCAUCCUGGAAAGAACGGACCAAUCAGGACAGCCAUAUUUCAGUCCCGCCCCUCAGGUCCAGGAAGUAUGUCAGGAGGUGGAUGAGUUCAUCUAUGUGGCCAAUGCAGAGACAGGAAGAGGUAACACCAAGACUCCAACACAUUCCUCAUACUUGCUCCUAUUCCUAGGCCCUUGUUGCCAGCCAGAUAAUCUUGUCAAGCAAACUGACUCCUGCGCUCACAGAAUAUGAGCUAUCGCAACAUCAGGCUGGUUCCACCAGGCUACCUUCCAGGACCAGAGCCAGUGAAAGGUGGUGAGGGGGAGGCGUCUCAGAUCCAGGCAUUGGUGGACCCUGCCUAGUGUUCGUCCUCCAGAACCCUCCUGGUCCUGACUUUUGUGUCCAGAGAGGAACCAGACCCAAUCAGAACCACUAGUCCCAGUACUGCUAGAUUAAAGACCAGGAACCCCAGUGUGGAUAUUGCACAGAGGCUCUGCCUGUCCCUGCUACCCAACCUCUGUCUGUCUGUCUGUCUGUCUGUCUGUCUGUCUGUCUGUCUGUCUGUCUGUCUGUCUGUCUGUCUGUCUGUCUGUCUGUCUGUCUGUCUGUCUGCCUGCCUGCCUGCCUGCCUGCCUGCCUGCCUGCCUGCCUGCCUGCCGGAGUGCUCUGGUCUCAGACUGUAGCUAGCUGUCUAAGGAGCCUGUCUGCUGGGGUGCUCUGGUCUCAGGCAGUAGCUAGCUGUCUAAGGAGCCUGUCUGCUGGGGUGCUCUGGUCUUAGACUGUAGCUAGCUGUCAGAGGAUCCUGUCUGCUGGGGUGUUCUGGUCUCAGGCUGUAGCUAGCUGUCCAAGGAACCUGUCUGCUGGGGUGCUGUGGUCUCAGACUGUAGCUAGCUGUCAGAAGUUCCUGUCUGCUGGGGUGCUCUGGUCUCAGGCUGUAGCUAGCUGUCAGAGGAUCCUGUCUGCUGGGGUGCUCUGGUCUCAGACUGUAGCUAGCUGUCAGAGGAUCCUGUCUGCUGGGGUGUUCUGGUCUCAGGCUGUAGCUAGCUGUCCAAGGAUCCUGUCUGCUGGGGUGCUGUGGUCUCAGACUGUAGCUAGCUGUCAGAGGAUCCUGUCUGCUGGGGUGCUCUGGUCUCAGGCUGUAGCUAGCUGUCAGAGGAUCCUGUCUGCUGGGGUGCUCUGGUCUCAGGCUGUAGCUAGCUGUCAGAGGAUCCUGUCUGCUGGGGUGCUGUGGUCUCAGGCUGUAGCUAGCUGUCAGAGGAUCCUGUCUGCUGGGGUGCUGUGGUCUCAGGCUGUUGCUAGCUGUCAGAGGAUCCUGUCUGCUGGGGUGCUGUGGUCACAGGAUCCUGUCUGCUGGGGUGCUGUGGUCUCAGGCUGUAGCUAGCUGUCAGAGGAUCCUGUCUGCUGGGGUGCUGUGGUCUCAGGCUUUAGCUAGCUGUCAGAGGAUCCUGUCUGCUGGGGUGCUGUGGUCUCAGGCUGUAGCUAGCUGUCCAAGGAUCCUGUCUGCUGGGGUGCUGUGGUCUCAGGCUGUAGCUAGCCUUCAGAGGAUCCUGUCUGCUGGGGUGCUCUGUUCUCAGGCUGUAGCUAGCUGUCAGAGGAUCCUGUCUGCUGGGGUGCUCUGGUCUCAGGCUGUAGCUAGCUGUCAGAGGUUCCUGUCUGCUGGGGUGCUCUGGUCUCAGGCUGUAGCUAGCUGUCAGAGGAUCCUCUCUGCUGGGGUGCUGUGGUCUCAGGCUGUAGCUAGCUAUCUAAGGAACUACCUUCAGCACAAAUGCUUCUGAAGGAAUGUUCUACCUCUGAUGUGCCUUGUUUCAAUGAAUCGCAAAAGAAAAAGUCAUUAUUGGGUUAAUAUUAUUUAAUAACCCUGUCAAAAUGUUUUGGUGAAUAAAUUGUGGGUUGUGAAACAAAACAGAAGUGAAGAGAACUACUGUUUAACUGUAGCUACGGUACUUUAAUGAAGAUAAUGAAGGGUUUUGGUUAUGACAUUGUUUUCUUCUACUACUACUGCGUAGUUUAGAAGCAUUUAGAAUCAUAUUGAUGUGACAAGGAAUUAUGGGUAAUUAUUUUUUUAUACCUUUAUUUCAG